This is a non-coding RNA of Danio rerio (zebrafish), 71 nucleotides long. The record is from Rfam. NCBI's taxonomy places the organism in Eukaryota, Metazoa, Chordata, Actinopteri, Cypriniformes, Danionidae.
GCAUUGAUGGUUCAGUGGUAGAAUUCUCGCCUGCCUUGCGGGAGACCCCGGUCCAAUUCCCUGCCAAUGCC